UUCGGGACGCCGGCGAGUGGCGAACGGGUGAGUAACACGUGGAGACCUGCCCUGGGGUGGGGGACAACAGCUGGAAACGGCUGCUAAUACCGCAUACGCCUUACGGGGGAAAGAUUUAUUGCCCGAGGAGGGUUCCGCGUCGGAUUAGCUUGUUGGUGGGGUAACGGCCUACCAAGGCGACGAUCCGUAGCUGGUCUUAGAGGAUGAUCAGCCACACUGGGACUGAGACACGGCCCAGACUCCUACGGGAGGCAGCAGUGGGGAAUAUUGCGCAAUGGGGGAAACCCUGACGCAGCGAUGCCGCGUGGGUGAAGAAGGCCUUAGGGUUGUAAAGCCCUUUUAGUGGGAACGAUGAUGACGGUACCCACAGAAAAAGCUCCGGCUAACUCCGUGCCAGCAGCCGCGGUAAUACGGAGGGGGCAAGCGUUGUUCGGAAUUAUUGGGCGUAAAGCGCGCGCAGGCGGUUUGUUAAG
This 473-nucleotide ribosomal RNA is filed under the name uncultured Magnetococcus sp. RNAcentral's name for it is "bacterial SSU rRNA". It matches the Rfam family "Bacterial small subunit ribosomal RNA", at positions 79 to 587 of the family's 1533-position model. The record is from RNAcentral. Lineage: Bacteria; Pseudomonadati; Pseudomonadota; Magnetococcia; Magnetococcales; Magnetococcaceae.